CAAGCAAUGAGGUCAAAGGAAUUGUCCGUAGAGUUCCGAGACAGGAUUGUGUCAAGGCACAGAUUUGGGCACGGGUGCUAAAAUAUUUCUGCAAGGUCCCCAAGAACACAGUGGCCUCCAUCCUUCCUUCUUAAAUGUGACUUUUGGACAAGUCUGAACAUAGCAGUGCAGCAAUGCUCCCCAUCCAACCUGACAGAGCUUGAGAGGAUCAGCAGAGAAGAAUAGGAGAAACGCCCCAAAUACAGGCUUGCCAAGCUUGUAGCGUCAUACCCAAGAAGACUUGAGCCAUUUUGUCCAUAUCCUGACGUGGUAUCCAGGGGUGUGUACUACCUCGUGACGGGUUGCUCUGACAGAAGGGGAAGGGUCGGACAUACUUGGGAAGAGGUGGCUGAUUGUGAGCAUGUGCAGUCCCCUCUGGUGUGUAGCCUGACCAAAGAGUUUCUCUGCCUGAAACCCCACCUACCACAGCCAGGUGUUCGCUGUGUUGGGGAACCACAUCUCACGCCCGACCCACCAAGAUGGCUUAAAACUCAUCAACGACAAUGAGUAUCAGCAUUUCCUCAGGGUUAAAGUUCAAAUACUUUGGAGUUGUGUUCAGUAGCACUAACAGAGCUUGCACCUAUACAUUCUCCAUUUUAAAAACAUCUGGUCCCUUUGGAGAGACUUUCAAGAUGCAGUGAGUCAGGUCAGAACCUAGCAUAUUAAUUUCUUACAAACAACAGUUACAAAUUCCAAUAAAACUAGGCUACAUGGUAUUGAAGUUCACUUUCCUUGCUUUGUCUAACAACACUAUAAUGAAUCUAGCAAAUGUGUUCUGGGUCAGAGUGCAGUAUUUAUUUAGUUUCAUUGCAGAAAUGUUUGUUAGCACGUUUCUCACACUGGCUUUAUCCACAGAGGAAGCAGGCCUGCCCCAGCAAGGAGUGUUGCCUAGCAACGCGUGCCUCGGAGGGAGGAGUCUACAUUGCACAACAAAUGACCAUGAUUUAGGAAUCUGUUUCGGACCCAACAGCUAGCCUGAUAGCAAAAAAUGGCUCUAAAAAAUAUAUGCUUUCAGCUAAUAGGGAGAAGUAUCCAACAAAAUAACUACACUAUGGCGUUUACUAAUCAUAAACUAUUUACAUAUCAUAUAAAUGUCGGUACGUUUGUGGACAAAAUUCUUACUUACUCAACCUUUAAAAGUCCAAUACAGUCGUUUUUAUCUUGCUAUCAAAUCAUUUCUGAGUAACGAUUUAAGUACCUUUUAUAG
Molecule: long non-coding RNA, 1246 nt
Organism: Oncorhynchus tshawytscha (Chinook salmon)
Lineage: Eukaryota; Metazoa; Chordata; Actinopteri; Salmoniformes; Salmonidae
Source: Ensembl